This 426-nucleotide ribosomal RNA is filed under the name Triticum aestivum (bread wheat). RNAcentral describes it as "partial small subunit ribosomal RNA". Lineage: Eukaryota; Viridiplantae; Streptophyta; Magnoliopsida; Poales; Poaceae. The record is from RNAcentral.
AUGCUCACGUCCACAAACUACAUCGAGUGGUCUCUCGUGAUGAAGGUGCACUUGGAGUCUUGGGGGCUCUGGGACGCGAUCGAGGGCAACCCACAUCAUGUGCGUGACGACAAGACAGUGCUCGGCGUGCUGUUCCGAGCCGUCCCGCCGGAGAUGCUUGGCGUCCUCGUCGUCAAGGCGACGACGAAGGAGCCCUGGGACAUGAUCAAGGUCAUGCGCAUGGGGGUGCAUCAUGUGCGCGAGGCGACCGCGCAAGGGCCGCACAUGGAAUUCAAGCAGAUCGCCUUCCGCGACGGCGAGACCCUCAACGCCUUCGGGAUGCGGAUCACGAGCCUCGUCAACCAGCUGCGCACCCUCGGCGACAACGUGGAAGAGGUACGAGUUGUACAAAAACUCUUGCGGGUUGUCCCUUCUCGCUACGCAUAG